UCCGUAGGUGGAUAAUUAAGUCAGAGGUGAAAUCCUGCAGCUCAACUGUAGAAUUGCCUUUGAUACUGGUUAUCUUGAGUCAUUAUGAAGUGGUUAGAAUGUGUAGUGUAGCGGUGAAAUGCAUAGAUAUUACACAGAAUACCGAUUGCGAAGGCAGAUCACUAAUAAUGUACUGACACUGAUGGACGAAAGCGUGGGGAGCGAACCGGAUUAGAUACCCGCGUAGUCC
RNAcentral lists this ribosomal RNA (229 nucleotides) under uncultured bacterium. RNAcentral's name for it is "partial 16S ribosomal RNA". It matches the Rfam family "Bacterial small subunit ribosomal RNA", at positions 568 to 796 of the family's 1533-position model. The record is from RNAcentral.